AAGGAGUCUAACAUAUAUGCGAGUAUUUGGGUGUUAAACCCCAGUGCGCAAUGAAAGUGAGACGGUAGGAACUCUCGCAAGGGAGGGCACUAUCGGCCGAUCCACACUUGUGUAAGGAUUUGAGUCAGAGCAUAUCUGUUGGGACCCGAAAGAUGGUGAUCUAUGCCUGAACAGGGCGAAGCCAGGGGAAACCCUGAUGGAGGACCGUAGCGAUUCUGACGUGCAAAUCGAUCGUCGGAGCUGGGUAUAGGGGCGAAAGACUAAUCGAACCAUCUAGUAGCUGGUUCCUGU
RNAcentral lists this unclassified non-coding RNA (291 nucleotides) under uncultured fungus. RNAcentral's name for it is "partial contains 5.8S rRNA, ITS2 and 28S rRNA". It matches the Rfam family "Eukaryotic large subunit ribosomal RNA", at positions 668 to 961 of the family's 3401-position model. Lineage: Eukaryota; Fungi. The record is from RNAcentral.